This 611-nucleotide ribosomal RNA is filed under the name uncultured bacterium. Its description in RNAcentral is "bacterial SSU rRNA". It matches the Rfam family "Bacterial small subunit ribosomal RNA", at positions 28 to 621 of the family's 1533-position model. The record is from RNAcentral.
GACGAACGCUGGCGGCGUGCCUAAUACAUGCAAGUUGAACGCUGAAGACUGGUACUUGUACUAGUUGGAUGAGUAGCGAACGGGUGAGUAACGCGUGGGUAACCUACCUCUUAGCGGGGGACAACUAUUGGAAACGAUAGCUAAUACCGCAUAACAAUCACUAACACAUGUUAGUGAUUUGAAAGCACCAAUUGGUGCACUAAGAGAUGGACCCGCGUUGUAUUAGCUAGUUGGUAGUGUAAUGGACUACCAAGGCGAUGAUACAUAGCCGACCUGAGAGGGUGAUCGGCCACAUUGGGACUGAGACACGGCCCAAACUCCUACGGGAGGCAGCAGUAGGGAAUCUUCGGCAAUGGACGCAAGUCUGACCGAGCAACGCCGCGUGAGUGAAGAAGGUUUUCGGAUCGUAAAACUCUGUUGUUAGAGAAGAACGUCAGUGAGAGUGGAAAGUUCACUGAGUGACGGUAUCUAACCAGAAAGGGACGGCUAACUACGUGCCAGCAGCCGCGGUAAUACGUAGGUCCCGAGCGUUGUCCGGAUUUAUUGGGCGUAAAGCGAGCGCAGGUGGUUUAAUAAGUCUGAUGUAAAAGGCAGUGGCUCAACCAUUGUGU